UUUUAACUGGCAAUACCGUGUGAUGUUUCCAUGACGACGGAAUAUUCCCAGUUAACAUUACUGAAUUUAUGAGAUUAAGGAAAAACUUCAUCAGCGACUUGUAUCAAAAUUUUGCUGAGGGCUUCAGAACAGUCCGAUUCAUUACCAGAAGUAAUAGGAGGGAGAGAUGAUAAUUUAUUUUGUACACCAAUUUGGAAUUUAUCCCAAUUAUUAUUAUUAUUUAACUUAUGUUUGUAAAAAUAAUUUCUUUUUCGAGGAUGUUUUUUAUGAAUUGGUAAUGAAAUGAUAAUAGGAAAAUGGUCACUCCCAUAUGCAGAUGAAAGGAUAGACCAUGAUAGAGAGGAAGAUAAAUUGGAAGAACAAAUAGAGAGAUCUACAGCACUAUUUCUUUCAGUGGGAGCAGUAAUACGAGUAGGUACUGGGUCAUUUAAAACACACAGAUUAUGGGAAUCAAGAAGGCCUAACAAUUGCUCACCAUGGUAAUUAGAAUAGGAGCUGCCCCAAGCUUGAUGAUGGCAAUUGAAAUCACCCAUAAUUAAAAAAGGUUUAGGAAGAAUUGAAAAUAACUCAUUUAAAUAUGCAAUAAUUGAAGAGGAAGGACGAGGUAUAUAAAGGGAGACUAAACAAAUAUCGCUGACAACAGCAGCAACCAUAGAAAUAUUGUUUUUGUCAAAAAGAGGUAAAGAAAUAGAAGAAAAAUGAGUAGCUUUAUUGAUGAGUAAGGCAGCCCCACCAUACCCAUCUGGCCUAUCAUCUCGAAUACAAGAGUAUUCUGAUAAUUUGAAAUUAAAAUCAGGUUUAAGCCAAGUUUCAGUUAGUGCAAUAACAAGUGGUUGUUGAUAUUUAUUGAUUAAAUGAAUUAAAUCACUUUUUUUGCUAAGUACACUUCUGCAAUUCCAUUGGACUACUUGAUCCAUUAUGGAGUAGAUUUUUGAAUAUUUCUAUAAAUGGGGCAACGUGGGACGGUAUUAUAUUAGAACUUACAAUACCUGACCAUCAAAUGUGACUACUACUGUCUGAGAAGGUUUCCAAGUGGGAGAGCCAUCAACAACAACUUUGUAAUUUAGCCGUCUUACUUUAAGUAUAUUGCCACAACCGAUAGGAACAGAAAUAUUUUGUAAUAUUUCAUCUGGACUCCAAUCACUCGGAACACCUCGUACCAGACCCAUACGUGUAAUAUUAAAUGUUGGUAUAAAAGCCUGUAAUUUGUAAUCAUUUAAACUGUUAUGAUUAAUGAAUGUAUUAGCAUCAUGGUAAACUGAGAAAGAUAAUGCAAUUUUAUUUCGUCCAAUGCGUUUUACACUUCCAUUAAUAAUGUUUUUAAAAUACUGUUUUUUGAGGAAUUUACCAAAUGUCACAGGGUGAAGUGUAGUACCGUCAUUUGGAGACUUUUCUUGUCUUACUACAUGAACUAAGUAUGGGGCAUGGUCUGUGGGUUCAUACAUUUUCCUUGCUACUGGUUCAGAAAUAUUAUUAUUUUCAUUUGUUUCUUUAGAUGUGGAUGGAUGAGGGGGAUCUAAAUUUACAGAUUGUGGAGUGAAAAUCACUUCCGUGAGAGGUUUUUGUAUUUCAAUGCCA
Long non-coding RNA from Achroia grisella, 1578 nucleotides. RefSeq lists it as uncharacterized. NCBI's taxonomy places the organism in Eukaryota, Metazoa, Arthropoda, Insecta, Lepidoptera, Pyralidae. The record is from RefSeq and is a predicted model, not a curated record. The transcript is spliced from 3 exons.